GUGAGAAUAGGGACUCGGCGAGUUGGCGGCCCAACUCGGCGAGUCAGGUCAACUGUGGGUUGACUUUGACCGAGAGUUGACUUUGACCAAGGGUAAAAGAGUCAUUUUACCCAGUGCAGUGUUUAGUAUUUGAUUGAGUGUGUUUAUGGACUUGUAGCCGGGGAGAUACCGGAGCAGCAGCAGUUAGCUUCCAGAGCCAUACACACAGCAGCCAGUUCACGAGGUGAGUUUCCCUUCAGUAGGAACGGGUCUACGGCCACAAUGCCGGCCCGUUUAAUUAUCAGUAGUUCCGGACUUUGGUCUGAUGCAGUAGUUAGAGUGCUUGAUGUCUUUGUGAUACAAGCAUGUUUUUGUUAUGUGUUCCGGACUCUGUUCCGAUGCAGUAUGCAGUAUAUGUGAUUAUAAUAGUUGUUAUGUUUUAUGCUAUGCCAUGAUCAGUCAGUUCCGGACUUCGGUCCGAUGCAGUCAGUUCCGGACUACGGUGCGAUGCAGUUAGUUCCGGACUUCGGUCCGAUGCAGUCAGUUCCGGACUUCGGUCCGAUGCAGUUAGUUCCGGACUCUGGUCCGAUGCAGGGGACAAGGUCCCAGUCAGUUCCGGACUUCGGUCCGAUGCAGCUAGUUCCAGACAUCGGUCUGAUGCAGUGGGCAAGGCCCAGUAUGUGCUUUAUUUAUGUAUUGUAUGGUAUGUGGUAGUUUGGGGGAGCUCACUAAGCUUCGUGCUUACAGUUUCAGUUUUGGUUUCAGGUACUUCCGCAAGCAGAGGGAAGAGCUCGGGAUGAUGGCAUCGCACACACCACAGCUUCAGCUUUUAUCCUGGGAGUUGAUUUAGUUUUUGAUUUUGAUAUGACAUAGAUAUGAUACAGUUUUCCGCACAGUGUUUUUAUUAUGUUUGGGAUACAUCACGUAUGGUUUUAUGAUAUGACACUCAGAUUAUGGUUUUUGGUUAUGUUGAAAAACGAAAUUUUUGGGUCGUAUUUUUGGGUCGUUUCAAGUUGGUAUCAGAGCCCUGGUUUGAGGGAUUCGGAUAUACUUCCGGGUGUAUCCGAACUCAAACUAAGGGGAAAUAAAAAGAUUUUUUAAAAAAAAGGAAAAUGUUUUCUAAAAGAAUUUUUAAAAGCACUUAGAAAGAAAGAAUUUUUUUUUAACGAGAUAAGGGUGUGCUGCAUGCAAUCAGCCGAGCUCAAGUAAGCACUCCCAAAUUACCCAUACAAGUUAUUUGUUCAGUUUCAGUUUCAGUAGAACAGCAUGCUAGUAUAGGACUAAGGAUCUAGGAGGAUGCCUUAUGUGCCUGCUUUAUGUGUUACAGCUUUAUGAGUAUUGCAUGCUAGUAUUGAGUAGACAGCAGUAGGAUAGCCUGUUUAGGUUAUGCCUGAUAGUAUGAGCUUAGCAUUGUAUGCUAGUACAGUUUCUCGUUAUGAGAAUAGUUUUGCCUGAGUAUGUUUCCUUUAUCCGAAUGCUGCUUGCUUCGUGCUUUGUGGGGUUCUGAGUGAUGGGAGUUAGCCAUUAGGUGAACACGUCACACCACAUGUGAUCAGGGUUGAAUAAUUCCAGAGUGCUGGAACUGGCCCUAUUGCGCAGCUCUUGUUUGAGUCCAACCGUUAUAGGGACGGGUCUUUUACUUGAAGGAUUAUCUGAUCUUCGUCACAUGUGAUGGUGUUCAGGUGGUGGUUAAUUAGCAUUAUAAGGAGACCUGCAGCAGCUGAGGACUAGUUGAGUUGAGUCUGAGGUUUCCCUGGGGCAAGCCUAGGAUGAGAGUAGCAGAGAUCAGUAGUAGUAGAAGUGACUUGGUGGAGUCAGGGCAGUUCUUGAAGAAAGUACGGAUAGAUGUGGAAGGUAGUAUGGGCCCGUACUACUGGAAGCAGAGGAUCCGUACUCGAAUCAAGAAAGGCUGAGACAAGACCAGGAAGCUAGUUGUAGUAUCAAUGAUCCCUUGAGAUAUUUCAGUUUUCUGAUGUAGUUGUGAUGUGUUUCAGAAUGGUGGUUUUGCGUUCGAGACCAGCAGCCGGCAGCGGAGGUGCCGGGGAGGGAUCAGGUUCAGGCUCGGGGGACGAGCGCAUGGAUGAGCAGACCCGAGAGUUUCUUUCUUCGGAGAUUACGCGCAUCAUUAUAGAGCAGACUCCUGUGAUCUUCGGUUCGAUCAAGGAGGGGAUUCUAGAGCUGAUGGAUGAGAGAUUGGGCACCUUCCGUGCCGAGGUGGCGGCCAUGAUGGGGUCGCGCACCCUUACUUUCAGGGAGUUCAGGGCAUGUGGAGCUCCGGACUAUCAUGGGGCGCGAGACCCCAUAGCGAGCACCAGAUGGUUGGCGGAUGUGGCCAACGCUUUCCGUACUAGCAGAUGUCCCGAGGGGGACAAGGUCAGAUUGGCGUCCUGUCUUCUGAAGGACAGGGCACGAGAUUGGUGGGAGGAGGUCGGGCAUGCCAUUGGGGAUGAUGCAGCAUUGGACGCCAUGACCUGGGCUGAUUUCUCUACCAGGUUCAGGGCGGAGUUUGCACCGGUCAUUGAGGUGCAACAGCUAGCUAGGGAGUUUCAGGACCUCACCCAGACUACAGAGACAGUGGCGGAGAUCACCGCCAAGUUCAGGGAGAGGGCUCUUCUCGUUCCUCAGUAUGUAGCUGAUGAGGAAAUGAAGAAGGCCCGUUAUCAUGAGAUGUUGCGGAGCGAUAUCCGCCAGUUUGUGAGCCGGUCCAGCUGUAAAACGCUGGAAGAUAUGAUUGCUAGAGCUCGGGAGAGGGAGAUUGAUCUUGAGAUGGAGAAGAAGAGGAAACCGGAGGCGGUUUCGGGUUCAGGCGGUUCGGGCAAAAAGCCCAAGGUUUCGGAUCACAGAUCUAGGAGUCAGCAGAGCCACGGUCGAUGUGGCAAGUGUGGGAGAUUGCACGAGGGAGCGUGCAAGGCAGGGAGUUCCGGCUGCUACAAGUGCGGUCGGAUUGGGCAUUUGAGUAGGGAUUGUACGGCCCCUGCUACUGCCGUCGCAGCAUCAGAUCUGAUUUGCUUUCAGUGCAAUCAGAGGGGACAUAAAAAGUCCCAGUGUCCGAGUUUAGCUUCAGCAGGGAAGGUGGCUGCACCUGCCCCUGCUACCUUGAGGAUUACAGAUGGCCGGCAGGGCCGAGCUGAUGCGCCAGUGGCGAAGAGUAGGGCGUUUCAGAUGACAGCAGAGGAGGCGCGAGCGACUCCUGAUGUGGUGACGGGUAUGUAUCUUCCCUUUUAUCUCUUUAUUAUUAUUGAUUAAAUGUUGCUUAUGAUUGUAUGUUUUAUUCAGGGUCGUUCUCUGUGAACGGCAUUUCUGCUUUGGUAUUAUUCGAUUCGGGGGCUACCCGAUCAUUCGUAUCUCUUGCGCUUAGCAAGAGGUUCAGUAGAGCUCCAGGGGAGCUGGAUUGUCCAUUAGAGGUUGAGAUAGCGGAUGAUAGGACCGUGAGGGUCGGCAGAGUGCACAGAGGGUGUUCUCUUCAGUUAUUUGAUGAGCAGUUUUCAGUGGAUUUGGUACCUAUUCCCCUGCGAGGGAAUAAGGUUAUUGUGGGUAUGGAUUGGCUAAGCCCCAAUGGGGCGGUGAUUGAUUGCGAGCUUCAGCUAGUGAGGGUUCGCACUCCCAGUGGGGGAGAGUUGGUGAUUCAGGGCGAGAGGCCACAGCGAGGACCGACCUUUUGUUCCGCCGCAAGGGCGAGGCGCUAUGUUCAGCAGGGUUGCGCCGGUUUUGUAGCUUACGUUUUGGAUGCCCGGGAGAAGGGCAAGUCGACAGUGGAUGAUGUUCCUAUUGUUCGAGACUACCCGGAUGUGUUUCCUGAGGAUUUGCCGGGGAUACCUCCUGAGAGACAGGUCGAGUUCCGGAUCGACCUCGUCCCUGGUGCGGCUCCGAUAGCCAAGGCACCGUAUCGACUAGCUCCCCCUGAGAUGCAGGAGUUGUCUACACAGCUGCAGGAGCUGUUAGACAAGGGUUUCAUUCGGCCGAGCAGUUCGCCUUGGGGAGCGCCGAUCCUGUUUGUGAGAAAGAAGGAUGGGUCGCAUCGUAUGUGUAUUGAUUAUCGGGAGCUGAAUAAGGUAACGGUGAAGAACCGUUACCCACUCCCGAGGAUAGAUGAUUUGUUUGAUCAGCUUCAGGGAGCGUCUUGGUUCUCCAAGAUCGAUCUACGCUCCGGAUAUCAUCAGAUGCGGGUUAGAGAUGAGGAUGUACAGAAGACUGCUUUCAGGACCAGGUAUGGUCAUUACGAGUUUGUGGUGAUGCCAUUUGGGCUCACCAAUGCUCCAGCCGCGUUCAUGGAUCUCAUGAACCGCGUGUGUAGGCCGAUGCUGGAUCGGUCAGUGAUAGUGUUCAUAGAUGACAUCUUGGUAUAUUCCAAGACGCAGGAGCAGCACGAGGAGCACCUGCGGGAGGUGCUGGAGGUUUUGAGGAGGGAGAGACUUUUCGCAAAGUUCUCCAAAUGUGAGUUCUGGUUGCGCGAGGUGCAGUUCCUUGGUCACCUCGUCAACCAGAAGGGUAUUCUGGUAGAUCCGGCCAAGAUAGAGGCCGUGAUGCAGUGGGAGGUCCCGAAGUCUCCAUCUGAGAUUCGGAGCUUCCUAGGGUUGGCAGGGUAUUAUCGGAGAUUUAUUCAGGAUUUCUCCAAGAUAGCAGUGCCGCUCACCCGACUGACCAAGAAGUCAGUGGUAUUUCGUUGGGGUCCGGAGCAGCAGACAGCAUUCGAGACCCUCAGGCAGAGAUUGUGCGAGGCUCCGAUCCUUACCUUGCCAGAGGGAGUAGAGGACUUUGUAGUCUAUUGUGAUGCCUCGAUCACAGGUUUGGGAGCAGUUCUGAUGCAGCGAGGCCAUGUGAUAGCUUAUGCCUCGAGACAGUUGAAGCCUCACGAGGCUAAUUAUCCUACCCAUGAUUUGGAGCUGGGGGCAGUUGUGUUUGCCCUCAAGAUUUGGAGGCAUUACCUUUAUGGGGUCCGUUGUACUAUUUACACGGAUCACAAGAGUUUGAGGUACCUUAUGGAUCAGCCGAGUCUGAACAUGAGGCAGAGGAGGUGGUUGGAUGUGCUAAAGGAUUACGACUGUGAGAUCCUUUACCAUCCAGGGAAGGCCAACGUGGUGGCCGAUGCCCUGAGCCGCAAAGUGUCGGCGGCCCCUAUCAGAGAUCUAUGUUUGAGGAUGACAGUGAUCACUCCGUUGUUGGAGCGGAUCAAGGAGGCUCAGGUGGAGGGCCUCAAGGAGGAGAGACAGAAGUGUGAGAGGAUCGUGGGCCGAGUAGCCUCGUUUGAUUAUGAUAGUCGUGGUUUGCUGACGCUUCACGGGAGAGUGUGGGUACCGUACUGGGGUGGAGUACGGCAAGUGUUGAUGGAUGAGGCUCAUAAGUCUCGGUUUUCUAUCCACCCAGGGGCGACGAAGAUGUAUCGAGAUCUUCGACCUGAUUAUUGGUGGCCCUGCAUGAAGCGGGACGUCGCCUGGUACGUCGAGAGAUGCCUGACCUGCCGGAAGGUCAAGGCGGAGCACCAGAGACCUCACGGCAGGAUGCAGCCGUUAGACAUUCCCGUGUGGAAAUGGGAGGACAUCACCAUGGAUUUUGUCACCAAGCUUCCCAGGACCGCACGAGGAGUGGAUUCGAUAUGGGUAGUAGUGGAUCGGUUGACGAAGAGUGCCCAUUUUAUCCCGAUCCAGGAGAGUAUAUCGGCGGAGAAGUUAGCCGAUAUCUAUGUGCGAGAGAUUGUGGCACGUCAUGGAGUGCCGGUAUCGGUGGUGUCAGACCGAGAUGUCCGUUUCACAUCCAGAUUCUGGAAGCGGUUCCACGACGAGAUGGGUACUCGUCUCCAUUUCAGCACCGCUUUCCACCCUCAGACAGACGGGCAGAGCGAGAGGACGAUUCAGACUCUCGAGGACAUGCUUAGGGCAUGUGUCCUAGAUUUCGGUGGCAGUUGGGAUACGUAUCUUCCGUUAGCGGAAUUCUCGUAUAACAACAGUUAUCAUGCGAGCAUUGAUCGACCUCCCUUUGAGAUGCUGUAUGGGAGGAAGUGUAGGACCCCGAUUUGUUGGGGCGAGGUCGGUCAGCGGGUCAUCGGGAGCACGGAGGUGGUGCUCAAGACGACUGAGUUGAUCCAGCAGGUCCGUAGUAGACUGCAGACUGCUCAGAGUCGGCAGAAGAGCUACGCCGAUAGGAGGCGUUCGGACUUGGAGUUCCAGGUGGGGGAUAUGGUCCUUCUGAAGGUCUCACCUUGGAAGGGUGUCAUCAGGUUCCGGAAGAGGGGCAAGUUGGGCCCCAGAUUUAUUGGUCCUUUCAGGGUUUUGGCCCGGGUGGGUCGGGUUGCUUAUCGGUUAGAUCUUCCUGAGGAGCUUAGUCAGAUCCACAACACUUUCCAUGUGUCUCAGUUGAGGAAGUGUUUGGUGGAUGAGUCAGCAGUCGUUCCCCUAGAGGAUAUUCAGGUUGAUAGCAGCCUGAAUUAUAUUGAGAGGCCGGUCGCGAUUCUGGACCGGAAGACCAAGACCUUGAGGAACAAGGAAAUUCAGUUAGUGAAGGUGCAGUGGCAGCACCGGAAGGGGUCUGAGUGGACGUGGGAGGCUGAGGAGGAGAUGAGAGAGCACUACCCAGAGAUAUUUGCAGAUUCAGCCGUAGCAGACUUCGAGGACGAAGUCUGAGAUAAGUGGGGGAGAAUUGUAACGACCCGUCUCCGGUAUGAUAAUUCCUUGGUAUUUAUUUUGAAGUUUUGCAAGAGGGACUCGGCGAGUUCAUAGCCUGACUCGCCGAGUAGGGUCGGGAUUUCGAGCACGUGUUAGCUGGCGACUCGGCGAGUCCAUAUUCUGGACUCGGCGAGUCUGUCCGUCUGGGAGAAACCCUAAAUCCCCGGGUUGCCCACUAUUUAAGCCACCUUAUAGCCCCCAAUCUCGCCUCCUUCACCCUCUAAAGCUGUGAGAAAACCCUAAUUCGUUCUUGAGUGAUUCUAAGUGAUUUUGUGUGCUAUUGUGAAGGCUUGAAGAAGGAGAAGAAGAAAGGAGCAAGGAGAAGGAUUGUAGAGCAGAGAUUCAAGGGAAAGCAAGAGCUCUUUGAGGUAUUCUUCAGUUUUCCUUCUCUUUUAUGCCUUAAAACCCUUUCUAGAUCUUGUUAAUGCCUUUCUCAAAGCCUUAUGUUGAUAUGGAAGCUCUCUUAUGCCGAGAUAACCUUAGAUCUGUUCAUUUAGGAGUUGUAGAGCCCAGAUCUAUUGCCUUUAUGGAGCUAUUUUGCAUAUUAACCCUAGAUCUACCCCUUUUAAGCAUCUUUUAGCCUUUAUUCCCUUGUUCAUGUGUUUGUACACGUAAAGUUGGAAACUUUACGUGGUAAAUCAGCUUAUUGGACUCAGAUCUAUCAUUUGUAUGUAUUGGAUUCGAGCAGAAUCGAGUGUAGAAUAGUUGCAUGGCGGUGACUCGGCGAGUCGGAAGAACGACUCGGCGAGUCGAGUCGCGAGUCCCCGAUUUCUUCCUUUUGAGCGGUGUCGAGUGGGACCAGUGAGUAGUGGAGUGGACUCAGCGAGUUUGAGGGUAGACUCAGUAAUGGAGGGACUCGGCGAGUUGUUCAUACAACUCGGCGAGUCCAAGGCAAUAUUCUUAAGCUCAAGAACAACUCGUCGAGUUGUUCAUAUGACUCGGCGAGUCGGAUGAAGAUUGUCUGAGUUCUUGGUUCGAGAGGGUACUCGUCGAGUCGAUGUCAUAUAAGACGAGUAGCCACGAGUAGGAUUGAGAAGUGAGGUUAGAGACUCGGCGAGUUGGCGGCCCAACUCGGCGAGUCAGGUCAACUGUGGGUUGACUUUGACCGAGAGUUGACCUUGACUGAGAGUUGACUUUGACCAAGGGUAAAAGAGUCAUUUUACCCAGUGCAGUGUUUAGUAUUUGAUUGAGUGUGUUUAUGGACUUGUAGCCGGGGAGAUACCGGAGCAGCAGCAGUUAGCUUCCAGAGCCAUACACACAGCAGCCAGUUCACGAGGUGAGUUUCCUUCCAGUAGGAACGGGUCUACGGCCACAAUGCCGGCCCGUUUAAUUAUCAGUAGUUCCGGACUUUGGUCUGAUGCAGUAGUUAAAGUGCUUGAUGUCUUUUUGAUACAAGCAUGUUUGUGUUAUGUGCUCCGGACUCUGUUCUGAUGCAGUAUGCAGUAUAUGUGAUUAUAAUAGUUGUUAUGUUUUAUGCUAUGCCAUGAUCAGUCAGUUCCGGACUUCGGUCCGAUGCAGUCAGUUCCGGACUACGGUCCGAUGCAGCUAGUUCCGGACUUCGGUCCGAUGCAGUCAGUUUCGGAUUUCGGUCCGAUGCAGUUAGUUCCGGACUCUGGUCUGAUGCAGGGGACAAGGUCCCAGUCAGUUCCGGACUUCGGUCCGAUGCAGCUAGUUCCAGACAUCGGUCUGAUGCAGUGGGCAAGGCCCAGUAUGUGCUUUAUUUAUGUAUUGUAUGGUAUGUGGUAGUUUGGGGGAGCUCACUAAGCUUCGUGCUUACAGUUUCAGUUUUGGUUUCAGGUACUUCCGCAAGCAGAGGGAAGAGCUCGGGAUGAUGGCAUCGCACACACCACAGCUUCAGCUUUUAUCCUGGGAGUUGAUUUAGUUUUUGAUUUGAUAUGAUAUAGAUAUGAUACAGUUUUCCGCACAGUGUUUUGUUAUGUUGAGAUAUAUCACGCAUGGUUUUAUGAUAUGACACUCAGAUUAUGGUUUUUAGUU
This 8633-nucleotide long non-coding RNA is filed under the name Lactuca sativa (garden lettuce). Its description in RNAcentral is "long non-coding RNA (LSAT_LNC002534)". The record is from RNAcentral. Lineage: Eukaryota; Viridiplantae; Streptophyta; Magnoliopsida; Asterales; Asteraceae.